GGGGUUGUGGCUCAGUGAUAGAGCACUCACCUAGCAUGUGUGAGGCACUGGGUUUGAUCCUCAGGACCACA
Molecule: transfer RNA, 71 nt
Filed under: Marmota monax (woodchuck)
Lineage: Eukaryota; Metazoa; Chordata; Mammalia; Rodentia; Sciuridae
Description: tRNA.Ala
Source: RNAcentral